AGAGUUUGAUCCUGGCUCAGGAUGAACGCUAGCGGCAGGCUUAAUACAUGCAAGGCGAAGGGGCAGCAAUGUCACUGUCGUACGGGUGCGUAACGCGUAUGCAACCUACCUAUCACUGGGGGAUAGCCCGGGGAAACCCGGAUUAAUACCGCAUAAAACAGGGGCACCGCAUGGUGAUAUUUGUUAAAGAUUUAUUGGUGAUAGAUGGGCAUGCGUUCGAUUAGCUAGUUGGCGGGGUAACGGCCCACCAAGGCGACGAUCGAUAGGGGAGCUGAGAGGUUGAUCCCCCACACGGGCACUGAGAUACGGGCCCGACUCCUACGGGAGGCAGCAGUAGGGAAUAUUGGGCAAUGGAUGCAAGUCUGAUCCAGCAAUACCGCGUGUGUGAAGAAGGCCUUAGGGUUGUAAAGCACUUUCAAUUGGAAGGAAAACCUCGUGGCUAAUAUCCACGAGCUUGACAUUACCUUUAGAAGAAGCACCGGCUAACUCCGUGCCAGCAGCCGCGGUAAUACGGAGGGUGCAAGCGUUAAUCGGAAUUACUGGGCGUAAAGCGUGCGUAGGCGGCUCGUUAAGUCAGAUGUGAAAGCCCUGGGCUCAACCUGGGAACUGCAUUUGAAACUGGCGAGCUAGAGUUUGAGAGAGGUAAGUGGAAUUUCAGGUGUAGCGGUGAAAUGCGUAGAGAUCUGAAGGAACACCAGUGGCGAAGGCGACUUACUGGCUUAAAACUGACGCUGAGGUACGAAAGCGUGGGUAGCAAACAGGAUUAGAUACCCUGGUAGUCC
This 782-nucleotide ribosomal RNA is filed under the name uncultured bacterium. RNAcentral's name for it is "bacterial SSU rRNA". It matches the Rfam family "Bacterial small subunit ribosomal RNA", at positions 8 to 796 of the family's 1533-position model. The record is from RNAcentral.